GAGGGUAUAGCUCAGUGGUAGAGUGUGUGCUUAGCAUGCUUGAGGUCCUCAAUUCAAUCCUCAGUACCUCCA
Molecule: transfer RNA, 72 nt
Filed under: Camelus bactrianus (Bactrian camel)
Lineage: Eukaryota; Metazoa; Chordata; Mammalia; Artiodactyla; Camelidae
Also listed under: 1 other name
Rfam family: tRNA
About the family: Transfer RNA (tRNA) molecules are approximately 80 nucleotides in length. Their secondary structure includes four short double-helical elements and three loops (D, anti-codon, and T loops).
Source: Rfam by way of RNAcentral